RNAcentral lists this long non-coding RNA (5511 nucleotides) under Triticum aestivum (bread wheat). RNAcentral describes it as "long non-coding RNA (TAES_LNC012224)". The record is from RNAcentral. Lineage: Eukaryota; Viridiplantae; Streptophyta; Magnoliopsida; Poales; Poaceae.
UCCAACAAUUCCCGAUUACACAUCCACUAAACUAACAACACAAGAUCCACAAGUCUCAAACACAAUCAAAGGAAAUAUACAAUGGCAAAGUUCAUCCCAAAUUCAAAGGAAGAGGGGUCUUGGUGGUAGUCUUCUCCCAAUGGAGGUCUUGAAAUCCUCAAGGAUUCUUCCCUAUGGGGUCUUGAUCCUCAAAGAGGGAAGGUAAUGGAGCAAAGCUCACCAAGAUCUCAUCUAAUACUUUGCUAACCCUAAACAUGGUCCUAGGUACGGAAUAUAUAGCCUUGGGGUCGAAGGAGAAGAAGUGGAGCCGAAGAUGCAAUCUCAGCCGGCCAUCCUGGGAGGCCCGUGCGCACGGGGUAAGUUGGGCCCGUGCGCACGGGGGUCCCGUGGGCACAGUACAGUCCCGUGCGCACGGGGUGCUCCAGCGCCUGUUUCCUGUGUAGCCCGUGGGCACGGGGUCUCGGGGGCCCGUGCGCACGGGGUAACCUGGGACUUGCUGUUUUGCUGCUGUUGCACUUCGUCUUGAUCCGGGCGGCCUUGGGGUGCUUCUCCUUCUUCUUGGGGAUGCUCCUGAGCUUCUUGGUGAUGUUCCACUUCAUACCUAAGUAGGCAUAGCAUAUUUUGGUGAGGUAGUAGAUAUGUUCCAUUUGUGUCCAUAUGCAAGUCUAGUAGGAAGGAGUUCACCUCGGUUUCCAAAGCACGUGCUCUAGCUCUUGUCAUGGGUCCUUGUGGGGUUGGAUGUGUCAAUGUAGAGUCCAUGGGGAUGAUGGAAGGAUGCUCCGCAUCAUCUGGUAUCAGAGCCAGGUUGCGCAAAUCAUGUAAAGGAAGCAUGGCAAUAUCAUCACAUGAAAAACAUAAGCCAAUGACCAUCAUCUCGUCAUCUAUGCCAUAAGUGCAAAUGGGAUUUAUUUUAAUGGGGCAUGCAUAGUUACUAUGUUGAGAUUGAAAUGAUGCAAUAUGGGAGAUCUCACUCAUAGCAUAUGACAAGUUCAAUGGAUUGUCAAACAUGACGUGACCAAUAGAAUUUUCACAAGAUAUCCUAUGAAGCAUAGCAUCAGAACUAGGCAACUCAACAUGCUCAUCAUCAUAUUCAUCAUAAAUAGGUAAGUCAAGGCAUGAAGGAGUUUCACUAGCAUGAAGCAUGGCAAUAGGUGGGUCAACAUUAUGGGAUCAAUCGAUGUCAAGAGAGUCCACUAGUGGGACAAGAGAAGCACCAUCACCUAUGUUACCUUUGGAGUGUCGCUCAUGUGUUGUAGGUGAGGUGUUGAAGAUCGUCUCAUUGUCAUCUUCAUCUUGAUGGAACCAUGUGGGGGGUGCAUCAUCGUCCACCAUGGCCGUCAUUUUGUCCAUUGGAGGGAUGGACUCAUGGAGGAUAGGCAUGUCGUCAUGUAGGAAACCUAGCACCAAAGAAGAAAACACACUAGGAGUAGAGGUUAAGUCGUUAGAAAUCAUGGUGGCCUCACAUGCCGUGUCAACUAUCUCACUCACUAAGUGUUGUGGCUCACUCACUCCCUCAAGGAUGCACUCACUCAUAUUGUUGGUGGAGUCACUCAAAUGGCGCUCAACCUCACAUAGGAUGUGUGGCAUGCUCUCUUGUGUGGGGCUAGUGGUGGUCACACUCAUCCUCUCAUAGGAAAUGCUCUCAAUGUCACAUAUGGUGGAGUCACUCAUGUCACUCAUGUGGUGGUGGCUCUCCUCACAUGACAAAUGGGUCAUCUCAUGAUAUGUGGGUGUCGGAGAGAUGUUGGUGCAAAUGUCUCCAUGCUCAACUACUAUCGUCGCCUUGGUUGAAGGGAUAGUCCCAUGCUCAACCUUCUUGUCACCGUCUUGUUGUUGGAGGCCCAUAUGAUGUGGCACCUCAUAGCUUGUCUCCAUGACCGAAGGGAAUGUCCCAUGCUUGGCCUUCUUCCUUGAGGGGCUUCCGAAGAUGGAAGUGUCGCCCUCGCUCGUAGGUGGUUGCCUUGGACUUGAUGAAGUCGUUGUAGGCGUACUCGUGGGAAGUAGGCAAAGAUGCCGUACGUCCAAAGGCGAAGAUGCCUUGAUAGCACUUGGCGAAGAUGCCAAAGUGGUUGGUGUAGCCGUAGCGCUGUCUUGGUGGUGGUCGUCUCGCGGUCUUCUUUUGUUCUCUUGAAGCUUGGACUUGGCGUGAAGUAGGGCUUGUUGGGACUUGUGCACUUGCGCUUGUGGAGCAUCUUCAUGAUCAUGAUGUCGUUGUCGUGCUUGAGCUUGUGGGCGUUCGUCGUCGUCGUGCACAUGAUGCUUGGAGGUGACUUGCCCUUCAUGACGAUGUGGAUCGCGAAAGUGAUGGUAGUCGCCAUGUAGAUGUGGACUUGGACGACUUGCGCUUGCAUCUUUUUCGCGCUCCGAAGACUUGUGGCUUGAAUGUCGCCGCCUUGAAGAUGACGAAGUGGAAGAAGACUUGAUCAAGAUUCUAAUCUCCUCCAUCCUUGCAUCGUGCUCCUCUUUAUGUGCGGAAAGCUUCUUGUCUAUGUAGUCCCUUUUUCUUGCUUCGGAGUGACGAAUGUCGAUGGAGAUGUUCUCGAUGCGCUCUCGCAAUCUUGAUUGUGCGCCUUGCAUUUGUCGUUGUAGAUCGAAGAUGGACGCUUUGGUGAUGUAGUUGUUCAAGCCGUCGUUGUUGUCGUAGACCGGAGAGGAAAUGCCUUGCCUAUCCAUCACAAGACUCGAGCAAAGGUGAGUAGGAAAUGAGAUAAACAAUACCAAGCUACCUUUUCCCAAAGUUGAGGAUGUAUCUUGUAUCACUCAAUGUGAAAUGAAAGAAUAGUGGAAUUGGUACCGGACUUGUUCACUCACACCUACAAGUAAAAGCUUACGGUAGAGCUCAGUGAGGAUAGUGGCACAAAAAUUUGAUGCAAAAUGUUAGCAAGAGUCAAUAAUGUUGGAAAAGAUUCACAAAUUCGCAAGUGAAACAAGUAGACCAAUAGCAAAUAUGGUACACGGAAACACACACACAGAUAGAUAAAUGGGGUCGUGCAACCAAGGAAUGAGCACAAAAUGUGGAGUCCACGGAAAACGCUCGUGUUGCACAACUCAAGAGAGACGCUAGCACGAUUGCUUAAUCGGCGGAUACGACACUUGUGCACAACCUAUAAGAUGCAAAAUGGAUAAACUUCUAUCCCAAGUAUGCUAUGUAUGUAUGGUUCCCGGUGUUUCUCUCAAGAUGAUCCAAGAUGAUCGGAUAUGACAAUCUUAUGUGCAAUGGGGUAUGAUGCUAUGGCACUUGCUUACAAGCUUCUUUGCUCUCUUUCUUUUGCUGAAAAGCUUAUUCUCUUUCUUUUUUUAUGGCCAAUUUGCACAAUGCACAAACCAAGAUAGCAAUUGUGUAUAUACGGGAACGAUAUUGUGAUACAAUGGAUGAUGUGAUACCAAUAUGAUAUGGUAUGUAUGCAAUGGAAUGGUGGAUCACUAAUGUGCACAAGUAACGUUGCCGGCAAUACUCAAAUGGCUAGUCUCGAUAGGCAAGUAACGCAAAAUGAGCUAGGGGUUAACAAUGCAAUUUGCAAGGGAAUAUACAAUGGUGUCGUCGAGGUUACCGUCCUUUGCGAUGAUGAGUAGCGGUGUUCUUGAUGUAGAUACCAAGAUAAUGUAGACUCGUCCGUAAGUAGCCGAAACACCUUAGGAAACGGUAAAAACCGCAAACUCAAAAUCUCAAAUGACAAAUGUUAAAUGGUGGAAGUGGAAAUGGCAAUGUGGAAGUGGUGGUGGUGGUUGGUGAAGAAGCAACCGUCCCUAAGUAGCUGAAACACCUUAGGAGACUCACGUCGCCACUCAAACAACCACAAAUGCUAAAUGGAGCAAAAUGGGUUAGGUUGCGGAAGGCGGUGGUGAUGUAGCGGAUGAUAUGGUGGAGGGCCUAGGCAAAGAUGCCAAAAUGUUAAAAUUUUGAUGGAGUCAAAUGGUGAUGGAGCCUAUCUAGGUGGAUGGGGGAUGUCAAUAGCUACUCAACGAGCUAAAGAACGCGAAAAUCGGACUCCGGAUGUGGAAGUUACGGGCAAAAUGGUGAACUGCACGCGGCUGCUGUAGGGGGGCCGUGCGCACGGGGUCUAGGGCCCGUGGGCACGGGGACCCGUGCGCACGGUACAAGCACCGAGGGCACGGGGUCACCUGGGACAUGCGGGUUUGGCGGAUUUCUUGGCGAUCUGGGCUCCAAGCGGAUGGAUCUCGUGGAUGGGGUGUAGCUGGAGUUAUGGGGGUGGUAUGGGGUGGUGGGACAGAGGUCGAAGCGCACUGGAAGGGCCGUGUGCACGGGGUCUGGCCGGCCCGUGUGCACGGGGUCCUCGAGGAGCGGAUGAACAGCUCCGGAUCCGUGGCAAAUCUCGCACAUGAGGUCAAAUUCGAAGGGUGGAAGGUGGGGGAAGGUGGUAGAGGGGUAGAUCUAUUUGCUAAACACCAAAUCCAUGGACCAAAUCCAACAAAAUCUCAUCAAACCAACAAAUCACAAAAAAAUUGGGGCUAUUUUUGAUGGGGAUUUUCGAAUUUAGGACGAAAUCACACAAAAUCAAGCUAGAAAACACGGGGUAGGGGCUCCAAAAACGUGAUCAACGUGGCUCAUGAUACCGUAUGAUGUAGGGUGGAACCCUAUGGAGAGAUCUUUCACGAAUUGGAGGUGGAAUCCCAAGAACAAGAUGAACAAAAGAGGAAAAACAAGGGGAACACUCAAGAACAAGUCAAAUCACACAUCCACUAGACAAUCAAACACAUAAGAUCCACAAGGUACAUGAACAACAAAAGAAAAUAAGAUACAUGGUAGAGUUCAUCCCAAAUCUUAUGAAGGAGAUGAGGGCUUGAUGAUCUAGAUAGAUCCUUCCCUCAAGGGGGUCUUCAUCCACUAGGGAUCUUCUCCAAAGGAGGCCUUGAACUACAAUGAACUCCAAUGGAGUGGAAUCCCACAAGGGGAGGUACAUACGAGCUAAGCUCUAGUGUUUAGAUCUAAUCUUAGCUGAACAAAACAAAUGGGGGAGUACAUUUGUAGAAGCGUACUGAAAUCCAUAUUAGCCUGGCAUUCGUGAGAGGCACUGACAAUACAAGGCCACUGGACCGUCAUAAAUUAAUGAGCCUUAUCAAUUUGGUAGCACCUUUCUCUAAUAUCGGAUGAUAUUUGGAUUAUCGGUAGUUUCCACUUUUCCGUCACGCCGUCACGGCGUCACACGGCACCGCGUGUCUAAACCGGAGAUGAGUGAACGGCACUCCACUUCAUGUGGAAUCAUGGAUCGCACCCAAGGGACAAAAGCUGUCAUCACCAUGGCCUUCCAGCGCUAAACAAAGUCCAAAACAUAACAAAGGCGUAGCCCUGUUCUGUUUUCCCCUUUCGUCGUCCCUCGUUUUCCGGGCGCAUACAGACACGCCGCCCAAUUUAUUACUACUCCUAGAGUGGUAGCACUCCGACGUACUCCUGGCGAACAGCUCACGCUCCACACUGAUCCCACUCACUCGACCGAGCCAGCCCAAACCUCCAAGAUUUAACGCCGCCGUCUUCAAAAGCCACCCACAGGG